ACGGGUGAGUAAUGCCUAGGAAUCUGCCUGGUAGUGGGGGGCAACGUCUCGAAAGGGACGCUAAUACCGCAUACGUCCUACGGGAGAAAGCAGGGGACCUUCGGGCCUUGCGCUAUCAGAUGAGCCUAGGUCGGAUUAGCUAGUUGGUGAGGUAAUGGCUCACCAAGGCGACGAUCCGUAACUGGUCUGAGAGGAUGAUCAGUCACACUGGAACUGAGACACGGUCCAGACUCCUACGGGAGGCAGCAGUGGGGAAUAUUGGACAAUGGGCGAAAGCCUGAUCCAGCCAUGCCGCGUGUGUGAAGAAGGUCUUCGGAUUGUAAAGCACUUUAAGUUGGGAGGAAGGGUUGUAGAUUAAUACUCUGCAAUUUUGACGUUACCGACAGAAUAAGCACCGGCUAACUCUGUGCCAGCAGCCGCGGUAAUACAGAGGGUGCAAGCGUUAAUCGGAAUUACUGGGCGUAAAGCGCGCGUAGGUGGUUUGUUAAGUUGGAUGUGAAAGCCCCGGGCUCAACCUGGGAACUGCAUUCAAAACUGACAAGCUAGAGUAUGGUAGAGGGUGGUGGAAUUUCCUGUGUAGCGGUG
This 585-nucleotide ribosomal RNA is filed under the name Pseudomonas sp. StFRB224. Its description in RNAcentral is "bacterial SSU rRNA". It matches the Rfam family "Bacterial small subunit ribosomal RNA", at positions 102 to 683 of the family's 1533-position model. The record is from RNAcentral. Lineage: Bacteria; Pseudomonadati; Pseudomonadota; Gammaproteobacteria; Pseudomonadales; Pseudomonadaceae.